GACGAACGCUGGCGGCGUGCUUAACACAUGCAAGUCGAACGGUAAGGCCCUUCGGGGUACACGAGUGGCGAACGGGUGAGUAACACGUGGGUGAUCUGCCCUGCACUUCGGGAUAAGCCUGGGAAACUGGGUCUAAUACCGGAUAGGACCACUGCCUGCAUGGGUGGUGGUGGAAAGCUUUUGCGGUGUGGGAUGGGCCCGCGGCCUAUCAGCUUGUUGGUGGGGUGAGGGCCUACCAAGGCGACGACGGGGCGCCGGCCUUGGCGGGUGCCCGGCCACACUGGGACUGAGGUACGGCCCGGACUCCUACGGGAGGAAGCAGUAGGGAAUAUUGCACAAUGGGCGCAAGCCUGAUGCAGCGACGCCGCGUGAGGGAUGACGGCCUUCGGGUUGUAAACCUCUUUCAUCACCGACGAAGCGCAAGUGACGGUAGGUGCAGAAGAAGGACCGGCCAACUACGUGCCAGCCGCCGCAGUAA
This 478-nucleotide ribosomal RNA is filed under the name uncultured bacterium. RNAcentral's name for it is "partial 16S ribosomal RNA". It matches the Rfam family "Bacterial small subunit ribosomal RNA", at positions 28 to 523 of the family's 1533-position model. The record is from RNAcentral.